Molecule: long non-coding RNA, 996 nt
Filed under: Homo sapiens (human)
Lineage: Eukaryota; Metazoa; Chordata; Mammalia; Primates; Hominidae
Description: LNC_000197
Source: RNAcentral
AGCCAGCCCUGGAAGAGCCUGACCCAUGGGCACUCAGCAACUAUUAUUGAGUCAACCAGCUGCAAAGGCUCAAGGGAAGGGGUUUGCAUUUGCCCUUCUCAUUCCUCUCAGAAACUCAAGCACCUGCUACCUCGUUGUAAAAGGGAAGAAAAAGACUGAGCUACGCAAGAUACGUAGGCAGAAGAUACUUAAAAAGGGGUUAUAACUCCCAUGCGUUCAUUUCUUAGACACUGGAACCACACAGGGACUAAAACAGGAGACCCAGGAGUGGCUACAGGAUGGGAAAGAAGCAGAUGGAAGAUGCAGGACUUCCUACAUCUUUGUGAUUCUACAAGAAAGUGUGUUUACAGGAGCUGGAUAAAUGUAGCAGGCUUUGGCCACAGGGGCACUUGGAUCUGUACCCCACAUGGCUAACAGAGCCAAAGCCCUGUCACAGCACUGUCGUGGUUGCAGCCAUGAGGCCAGAUCACAGCCAGCCCAAGGCAGUGUUGAGGAUGAGGAGAAGGUGGAAUCUGGCACCCCUUGGCGGGGCAGCUGCAGGUGGCCGUCGUAGUGAAUCAAACCCAGCAGGCACCACUCAACAAAACUACCUUCACCUCCCAGAUAGCCACAGCUCACUGGGCCACCGUCAUGCUUCAGCAUCACCUCAGCAAACAAGCCAGUUCUCACUCCAGUUUUUAACAUUUUAAGAAUGUGAAACUAGAGCAAAUUUCAAAUAACAAGGCAUAGUUGUGGUUUUCCUCACAGGGAUGUUUCUACUCCUCCUAUUGGCACCUGCUUUAAACAUUAAGUGGAACAUGUGAUCUCAAAACCACUGAACGACUUUGAUGUUCGGGAUGAAAAAGAAAAGAGUGAAGAUGAUGACUGUGAAAAUUCCUGCUCAUUGAUGCUACCAGCUGGGACUGGUGGAUGGAGAGUUAAUCAAAACAACUACGUAAAUCUACAGGUUCUCAUCCUUCCUCUGCAAAAGGUUGUCUAUGCACCAGAACAAGCCAU